UUCGAAUUUAAUUUAAUUUUUUUAUAUUAUUUGUUCUUAUAGUAAUUUUUCUAAAUUUAAGCAUUUUGUGCAGUGAUUUUAAUUUAUUUAAUAUGUGGACUGAAAAUAGUUCUUGUUUUUCUCACUUGAAUUCACCUGAAGAAUGUUUUAAAUGAACAUUUUAAAUAAUUCUCUAUCACUUUGUAUAUGGUCUAAUUAAAUUAUGUUAAGUAAGAAAAGUAAAUUGGUUUAAGAUAUUUACUAUUAAUCAUAAAUUUAUCAAGAUACAGAAUAACAGCCUACUUCUACACCUAUUCUACAAAGUUACCUAUUAUGUUGAUUUUACUGGAAACAAGAGUUAGUUUUUUAUUUUAUAUUUUGCAUAUAUAGAUUAAAAUGACUUAUAUAUCUUAAUUCUAUGAUUUAAUUACUAUUUAAUAAUUUAUUAUAUUUAUAAAUAGUAAAUAACAUGACUUUAUUUAGUUUAAUCUUAUAAAUUAAAAUUUUAAUAUAUGCAAAUAAUAAUAAUAUUAACUGAAAACCAUGUUGCUAAUUUGUUCAAUUUACUUUCUAGUUUAACAAAAGAUUAUAGGAAAAGACCUAAAUACAGAAAAUUACUGGAAACUCCAUUUAUUAAGAAAUACGAAACACUCGAUGUCGACGUAGCAGCAUGGUUUGCCGUCGUCAUGGCUUCAACUCAAACGCCGAGACCAUCGAGGCACUUUAGGCAUUUCUGACAUUGCUCGAAAUAUAAACAUUGUGUUUGUAGAAAUGUUAAACUAUAUAAUGAUUUAUCAACUUGUUGGAGGAAUUCAUUAAUUAUCGAAGAGACCAUCAGAGCCGAAGAGGGAAGUUAUUUCUCCGAUAUUCUACUAAAAGUUAUGUUUAGGUUAUAGAAGUUAAUUUAAUUAACUUAUAUGUAUUGAUCAUGAAUUUCUAUAUUGCUGCCUUGAAAAUUCUGAUCUCUACAAAUAAAAUUAACUUCAUUUUAAAA
Centruroides sculpturatus (bark scorpion) is the source of this 973-nucleotide long non-coding RNA. RefSeq lists it as uncharacterized. The record is from RefSeq and is a predicted model, not a curated record. NCBI's taxonomy places the organism in Eukaryota, Metazoa, Arthropoda, Arachnida, Scorpiones, Buthidae. The transcript has 2 exons.